Molecule: ribosomal RNA, 497 nt
Filed under: uncultured bacterium
Lineage: Bacteria
Description: partial 16S ribosomal RNA
Rfam family: Bacterial small subunit ribosomal RNA
Source: RNAcentral
GAUGAACGCUGGCGGCGUGCCUAAUACAUGCAAGUCGAGCGAACAGACGAGGAGCUUGCUCCUCUGACGUUAGCGGCGGACGGGUGAGUAACACGUGGAUAACCUACCUAUAAGACUGGGAUAACUUCGGGAAACCGGAGCUAAUACCGGAUAAUAUAUUGAACCGCAUGGUUCAAUAGUGAAAGACGGUUUUGCUGUCACUUAUAGAUGGAUCCGCGCCGCAUUAGCUAGUUGGUAAGGUAACGGCUUACCAAGGCAACGAUGCGUAGCCGAACUGAGAGGGUGAUCGGCCACACUGGAACUGAGACACGGUCAAGACUCCUACGGGAGGCAGCAGUAGGGAAUCUUCCGCAAUGGGCGAAAGCCUGACGGAGCAACGCCGCGUGAGUGAUGAAGGUCUUCGGAUCGUAAAACUCGGUUAUUAGGGAAGAACAAAUGUGUAAGUAACUAUGCACGUCUUGACGGUACCUAAUCAGAAAGCCACGGCUAACUACGUG